AAGUACUCGAGGAAGAGUGGCUGUUUCCGGCUCUUCAGUGAAAGCCUCUGAAUCAAUACAGCAAUUUGAGAGAGUCACUCGCGCUCUUUGAAGACCGCGCGGGAAUUCGCUCACCAAAGGACAUACUGUGAGCUGUUUGGACUCUCAUUCUGACGGCACCCAUUCACUGCAGAUGAUCCAUUGGUGAGCAAGUGAUAUAGGCUAAUGCAAAAUUUCUCCAAACCUCUUCCGAUGAAUAAAACAAACUCAUCUUGGAUGGCCUGAGGCACCAUCAGCAGGACGAAGAGCAGCACCAUUCCCACCAAAAUGCAGGAGAUCGUCACCAUCAUCUUCAUCCCCUCGUUGCUGGUUUUCUUCACCGGGUCCUUCACCGCGGUCUUCACCAGCGGAGGAAUGCUCGUACCAAGUGGCUUCCUGCAAGUCUGGCAGGUUGUAGCUCUUCGUAAGAGAGGUGCGCUUCACUUUGGUCCACACGGGGCUGUCCAAAGGACGGUAUUCCAGGAUGAAGGAGGUGAUUGGACAACCGCCAU
Molecule: long non-coding RNA, 530 nt
Organism: Onychostoma macrolepis
Lineage: Eukaryota; Metazoa; Chordata; Actinopteri; Cypriniformes; Cyprinidae
Exons: 4
Source: RefSeq, a predicted model, not a curated record